RNAcentral lists this ribosomal RNA (506 nucleotides) under uncultured bacterium. RNAcentral describes it as "partial 16S ribosomal RNA". It matches the Rfam family "Bacterial small subunit ribosomal RNA", at positions 29 to 523 of the family's 1533-position model. The record is from RNAcentral.
AGUGAACGCUGGCGGUAGGCCUAACACAUGCAAGUCGAACGGCAGCACAGAGGAGCUUGCUCCUUGGGUGGCGAGUGGCGGACGGGUGAGGAAUACAUCGGAAUCUACUCUGUCGUGGGGGAUAACGUAGGGAAACUUACGCUAAUACCGCAUACGACCUACGGGUGAAAGCAGGGGAUCUUCGGACCUUGCGCGAUUGAAUGAGCCGAUGUUGGAUUAGCUAGUUGGCGGGGUAAAGGCCCACCAAGGCGACGAUCCGUAGCUGGUCUGAGAGGAGGAUCAGCCACACUGGAACUGAGACACGGUCCAGACUCCUGCGGGAGGCAGCAGUGGGGAAUAUUGGACAAUGGGCGCAAGCCUGAUCCAGCCAUACCGCGUGGGUGAAGAAGGCCUUCGGGUUGUAAAGCCCUUUUGUUGGGAAAGAAAUCCAGCUGGUUAAUACCCGGUUGGGAUGACGGUACCCAAAGAAUAAGCACCGGCUAACUUCGUGCCAGCAGCCGCAGUAA